GUAGGGAAUAUUGGUCAAUGGACGAAAGUCUGAACCAGCCAUUCCGCGUGCAGGAAGAAGAUUCUAUGGAUUGUAAACUGCUUUUAGCAGAGAAGAAACGCCUUCAUUGAUGAGGGUUUGACGGUAUCUGCGGAAUAAGCACCGGCUAACUCCGUGCCAGCAGCCGCGGUAAUACGGGGGGUGCAAGCGUUAUCCGGAAUCACUGGGUUUAAAGGGUGCGUAGGCGGGAAAUUAAGUCAGUGGUGAAAGUCUGUUGCUUAACGAUAGAAUGGCCGUUGAUACUGAUUUUCUUGAAUUGGGUUGAGGUUAGCGGAAUGUGACAUGUAGCGGUGAAAUGCAUAGAUAUGUCAUGGAACACCAAUUGCGAAGGCAGCUAGCUGGGCCUUGAUUGACGCUGAGGCACGAAAGCGUGGGUAGCGAACAGGAUUAGAUACCCUUGUAGUCC
Molecule: ribosomal RNA, 445 nt
Filed under: uncultured bacterium
Lineage: Bacteria
Description: partial 16S ribosomal RNA
Rfam family: Bacterial small subunit ribosomal RNA
Source: RNAcentral